This 222-nucleotide long non-coding RNA is filed under the name Trifolium pratense (red clover). RNAcentral describes it as "long non-coding RNA (TPRA_LNC014420)". The record is from RNAcentral. Lineage: Eukaryota; Viridiplantae; Streptophyta; Magnoliopsida; Fabales; Fabaceae.
GACAUGUACCAAAAAAAAUUAAUAAAUGACAUGGAAUUUUAAAAAUAAAUAUAAAAUGAAUUUUUUCCAUAUGUACAAGCUAUGUCAGCAAAUUUGCACAGUCAGAUGUCCUGCUGUACACUUACGGGGGUAAAUGACAGAAUCUAUUUUUUGCAAGGGGGUAAACAGAAAAAAAAUCUGAAUAGGGGGGAAAACGAAAAUUCCCUUAUUUUGCAGGGGGGU